RNAcentral lists this ribosomal RNA (588 nucleotides) under Enterobacteriaceae bacterium HGH0089. RNAcentral describes it as "bacterial SSU rRNA". It matches the Rfam family "Bacterial small subunit ribosomal RNA", at positions 200 to 769 of the family's 1533-position model. The record is from RNAcentral. Lineage: Bacteria; Pseudomonadati; Pseudomonadota; Gammaproteobacteria; Enterobacterales; Enterobacteriaceae.
ACCAAAGAGGGGGACCUUCGGGCCUCUUGCCAUCGGAUGUGCCCAGAUGGGAUUAGCUAGUAGGUGGGGUAACGGCUCACCUANGCGACGAUCCCUAGCUGGUCUGAGAGGAUGACCAGCCACACUGGAACUGAGACACGGUCCAGACUCCUACGGGAGGCAGCAGUGGGGAAUAUUGCACAAUGGGCGCAAGCCUGAUGCAGCCAUGCCGCGUGUAUGAAGAAGGCCUUCGGGUUGUAAAGUACUUUCAGCGGGGAGGAAGGGAGUAAAGUUAAUACCUUUGCUCAUUGACGUUACCCGCAGAAGAAGCACCGGCUAACUCCGUGCCAGCAGCCGCGGUAAUACGGAGGGUGCAAGCGUUAAUCGGAAUUACUGGGCGUAAAGCGCACGCAGGCGGUUUGUUAAGUCAGAUGUGAAAUCCCCGGGCUCAACCUGGGAACUGCAUCUGAUACUGGCAAGCUUGAGUCUCGUAGAGGGGGGUAGAAUUCCAGGUGUAGCGGUGAAAUGCGUAGAGAUCUGGAGGAAUACCGGUGGCGAAGGCGGCCCCCUGGACGAAGACUGACGCUCAGGUGCGAAAGCGUGGGGAGC